Molecule: ribosomal RNA, 514 nt
Filed under: uncultured Glomus
Lineage: Eukaryota; Fungi; Glomeromycota; Glomeromycetes; Glomerales; Glomeraceae
Description: SSU rRNA
Rfam family: Eukaryotic small subunit ribosomal RNA
Source: RNAcentral
AGCAGCCGCGGUAAUUCCAGCUCCAAUAGCGUAUAUUAAAGUUGUUGCAGUUAAAAAGCUCGUAGUUGAAUUUCGGGAUUUAUCCGUUGGUCGGGCUUUUUGGUCUGUACUGGCGUGAUGGAUUCCUACCUUCUGAAUAACCGGCAUGCCAUUAAUUUGGUGCGCCGGGGAAGCAGGACUGUUACCUUGAAAAAAUUAGAGUGCUUAAAGCAGGCUUAUGCCUGAAUACAUUAGCAUGGAAUAAUGAAAUAGGACGCAUGGUUCUAUUUUGUUGGUUUCUAGGAUCACCGUAAUGAUUAAUAGGGAUAGUUGGGGGCAUUAGUAUUCAAUUGUCAGAGGUGAAAUUCUUGGAUUUAUUGAAGACUAACUUCUGCGAAAGCAUUUGCCAAGGAUGUUUUCAUUAAUCAAGAACGAAAGUUAGGGGAUCGAAGACGAUCAGAUACCGUCGUAGUCUUAACCAUAAACUAUGCCGACUAGGGAUCGGACGAUGUUAAUUUUUUAAUGACUCGUUCUU